CCUACGGGAGGCUGCAGUGGGGGAUCUUCCACAAUGGGGGAAACCCUGAUGCAGCGACGCCGCGUGUGGGAAGACGGUCCUCUGGAUUGUAAACCACUGUCCCCAGGGACGAAGAUGAUGUUACCUGGGGAGGCCGCUUCGGCUAACCACGUGCCAGCAGCCGCGGUAAUCCGUAGGGGACGAGCGUUGUCCGGAAUUACUGGGUGAACAGGUAGCGUAGGCGGGGAUGCAAGUUGGGUGUCAAAACUACCGGCUCAACUGGUAGUCGCACUCAAAACUGCACCUCUUGAGUGAAGUAGAGGCAGGCGGAAUUCCUAGUGUAGCGGUGAAAUGCGUAGAUAUUAGGAGGAACACCAGUGGCGAAGGCGGCCUGCUGGGCUGUUACUGACGCUGAGGCGCGAAAGUGUGGGGAGCAAACAGGAUUAGAUACCCGUGUAGUC
This 440-nucleotide ribosomal RNA is filed under the name uncultured bacterium. RNAcentral's name for it is "partial 16S ribosomal RNA". It matches the Rfam family "Bacterial small subunit ribosomal RNA", at positions 338 to 795 of the family's 1533-position model. The record is from RNAcentral.